This 254-nucleotide ribosomal RNA is filed under the name uncultured bacterium. RNAcentral describes it as "partial 16S ribosomal RNA". It matches the Rfam family "Bacterial small subunit ribosomal RNA", at positions 524 to 776 of the family's 1533-position model. The record is from RNAcentral.
GACGUAGGGCGCGAGCGUUGGCCGGAUUUAUUGGGCGUAAAGAGCUCGUAGGCGGCUUGUCGCGUCGACUGUGAAAACCCGUGGCUCAACCAUGUGGUCUGCAGUCGAUACGGGCAGGCUAGAAUUCGGUAGGGGAGACUGGAAUUCCUGGUGUAGCGGUGAAAUGCGCAGAUAUCAGGAGGAACACCGGUGGCGAAGGCGGGUCUCUGGGCCGAUACUGACGCUGAGGAGCGAAAGCGUGGGGAGCGAACAGG